This 461-nucleotide long non-coding RNA is filed under the name Sinocyclocheilus grahami. RNAcentral's name for it is "lncRNA (ENSSGRG00000006521.1)". Lineage: Eukaryota; Metazoa; Chordata; Actinopteri; Cypriniformes; Cyprinidae. The record is from RNAcentral.
AUAGAUCGCGCGAGGCUUGGCUCAAAAAAGUGAUCGCGCGCGAACAGCCCUGUGCUACGGUACUGAGGUAAACAGAAAACUGCGGAUCCGCUUCGUUCGGACUUGGGUUUUAAAGCGAUGGACAUGUUGGACAUGUUAUUACAGCAAACAUACUAUCGACAUUUCGAGAGAGAGGCAAAUUAUCACUACCUCACUAACUUACCUCCAAGACAAGAGUCAGGAUUCUGCAGUGAGGUGAACAUCUUGGUUCUCAAGGAGGUUACUACCAAAUCUGUCUCUAUGAAACUGCGGCGCAGCACAGUCCUGAGAAGCCGACGGCUUCAUCAGCGAGAACAUGUGAAGGACUCUGAGAGCAUCUCUGUGGUGUUGAGUGACACUGACUCUAGUCAGUCAGACAGUGUGGAAGAAAUAAAAGAUCAUCUGUCUGUUAUUCGUGAUCUGAAGCGGCCAGUAAGGAAGAG